Long non-coding RNA from Phyllostomus hastatus (greater spear-nosed bat), 1053 nucleotides. RefSeq lists it as uncharacterized. The record is from RefSeq and is a predicted model, not a curated record. The transcript is spliced from 4 exons. NCBI's taxonomy places the organism in Eukaryota, Metazoa, Chordata, Mammalia, Chiroptera, Phyllostomidae.
UAGGAAACUAAUACGGAUGGGGCGAUGACAAAGAAAUCACCUGCAAAGAUUCUCGGGAUGAAGCUUGACCUUGGAUUUGCCCUGACAAAACACACACAGCUGUUUUAACAUCAUCACACAUUUCUGCACUCUCUGCUAUUUACACAGAAAAGGACAGAUGUGUGCAGAGCGCUGGAGGAGAGUACAUCCUAGCUGACUUCUCUAACAGAGCUCCAAGACUGGUGGGAGACCAGCCCAAGAACAACCAAGAAUGACAUAAAAAGUGCAUUUCUAGAAGAAUGAGACCAAGCAUUUCACAUGAAUUGUGGAGACUCACAGAACACAGUUUUCCAAGUGGAGUCUCCCCCAAGUCCAGGAGUGCCUUGACUGACAUGGCGUUGGGGUGCCACUGCGAGUGAAGUGUCUGCUCUGCUGCACCCACACUCCACCAGCCUGUCCACUACUAAUGACACCUUUCACGCCUGAGUCCGCUGCAUUUCUACAACCAAUGGUUCUGUUCAGUUGGGAAGUUGGCAUAAAAAGAAGCUCAAACUAUUGCCAAUAUCACUGGGAUGUACCCUAUCAAAAGCUCUCUGCUGACUCCCCCAUCAAAACAUUUAUUUUUUAACCAGAUCAGAAAUAGCAUCUUUCUUUCUGAAGGAGAAACUUCUUCACUAAUCACCAUAGAAAUAAUCAAGAAGUUUUUCCACUUGGUUUUUAUUUGUAAGACAUUUCUUUGCAACCUGGAAUCUGUGAUGCAUGGUUUUUCAAGUGCUCUUUCUGUUAACAAAAUUAGAUGCCUCAUUAAAGACUCCGAAAGAGUCAGGCCAAGUUAGCUGGGCUGGAAACAAAUACUGCUAAUCCAAAUAUUAACCAGCUUGCUAGAGACACUGAGGAUAUAGACCAUAUGUGUUAGAACAAGGAGCCAGGGUGCUACCCACAGGGCAUCUCUGGAUCUAGGCUGGUAAUCCAUUAAAGCUGAGAGGUCAGUGUCCCUGCAUAGUACCAGGGGGGACCCUCCCCCAAAAGCCCAGAGCUUAUUUAUAAAAACUGGUGUUUUCUUACAUGUUUAAA